GAGUUUGAUCAUGGCUCAGAUUGAACGCUGGCGGCAUGCCUUACACAUGCAAGUCGAACGGCAGCAUGAUCUAGCUUGCUAGAUUGAUGGCGAGUGGCGAACGGGUGAGUAAUACAUCGGAACGUGCCCUGUAGUGGGGGAUAACUAGUCGAAAGAUUAGCUAAUACCGCAUACGACCUGAGGGUGAAAGUGGGGGACCGCAAGGCCUCAUGCUAUAGGAGCGGCCGAUGUCUGAUUAGCUAGUUGGUGGGGUAAAGGCCCACCAAGGCGACGAUCAGUAGCUGGUCUGAGAGGACGAUCAGCCACACUGGGACUGAGACACGGCCCAGACUCCUACGGGAGGCAGCAGUGGGGAAUUUUUGGACAAGUGGGCGAAAGCCUGAUCCAGCAAUGCCGCGUGUGUGAAGAAGGCC
This 413-nucleotide ribosomal RNA is filed under the name uncultured microorganism. RNAcentral's name for it is "bacterial SSU rRNA". It matches the Rfam family "Bacterial small subunit ribosomal RNA", at positions 9 to 416 of the family's 1533-position model. The record is from RNAcentral.